UUAUAAUCUGACACUCAUGUUCUUCCAAAAUAGAGUAUCUGAAGAUGUUCUGCUACAAUUGAAUAUUAUAAAGCAAUUCAAAGCCUCUGCCAAAUUAGAAGCAGCAUGUUUUUGCCGGCAAAAUGAGUGUUUCAUGAAACAGGGCAUUCUGACCCACAUAUCCAUCUUAGGAUGACAGAAAGCAUUUAUAUUUUUUUACAGAUAUCACCUCAUCGUUUUUUUUAAAAGAUUUCUUUUUAAUAAGAACAAACAUUGAAGUGAGAAAACUUUUCUUAAAGCUAUGCUGACUGGCGAUGCAGUUGUGAAAAAUACUUGAAAUUUCGUUUUUCAUAAUCACACAGCACAGCAUGAUGUAAUUCAUAUUAUGAAAAAAGUUAAAAUAUUUGUAUCUAUACAAGUUGUCAAUAAGCUUUAACACUUAUUAAAGCUUUAACAGUUAACAAAGCAGGAGAAAAAGCCACUUUGACACAAAUAAUUUUUAUUAUUCAAACAUAUUCCCUUUGUUAAUAGCCAUGGUAGUGGUUUUCAAUGUAACAGAAAUCAGCGCAGACAGUGCACACAACGAUUCUUAGACGGUAAGCAGAACCAACCUGACCCAUACCUGACUAAAUCACUCAUUCUUUUUUUGUUAUAAACUUGUUACAGUCUUUCGUGGAGUUGUUUACUGGAUUGUAAACAGUGAGGUGUAAACUUGGAAAAAUUAAACAACAGUCUUUAUAAGGGACAAGAGACAACACUAAAUUCAUACAGAAACCUCUGUCUCCAACCCCUUCUGCCUAAUAUGAAGAAACAAAAAAUAAACCACUUAAAAGAUGACUUGAUACCCAGUUUAUCGACUCAAAGUGUUUUCUGUGCUCAUUGCUAAUGACAGCCUCAGUAAACCUCAGACACCCUUUUUUUCAGGGGGUGCGUCAUGCUGACAACCCCUUCAUAUUACAAUCAGCAAGAGGUAACACAAGCAACUAUCAGCAUGUCACAAGAUACUGACUUGUGCUUAUAGAGUAGUAUCUUAUUCCCAUAAAAAAGUAACAUUGCUGCACCCAGUGUGCACAAGAUUUUAAUUUGUGCAUACAGGAUGUCUUGAUCCAACAAGAAUAUGACAACAUAACUGUC
Molecule: non-coding RNA, 1113 nt
Organism: Xyrichtys novacula (pearly razorfish)
Lineage: Eukaryota; Metazoa; Chordata; Actinopteri; Labriformes; Labridae
Source: the annotation of a GenBank genome assembly